RNAcentral lists this long non-coding RNA (547 nucleotides) under Ananas comosus (pineapple). RNAcentral describes it as "long non-coding RNA (ACOM_LNC020121)". The record is from RNAcentral. Lineage: Eukaryota; Viridiplantae; Streptophyta; Magnoliopsida; Poales; Bromeliaceae.
GGUCUAUGUACUAUGGAGUACUGUUGUAGGUCUAUGUGUGAUUAUUCAACAUCCCGCUUGUCGGAUCAUUGGCGCUAACCAUUAAUCCCAAAAACUCGAGCUGUUAGAAAUAUAUAACCAAUUCACUUAAAGCGUACAGAUACAACACCCACGGAUCUUGAUUGUGACUCGGCCCAACCAGCCACACGCCACUUCGAACAUGACUCGACCUACCCAACCUCACGCCAUUUCGAACAUGACUCGACCCAACAUGGCCACAUAUUUGCAGCAUGCGAGAAUCGAAUCCGUGACCUCUGGCUCUGAAACUACUUGUCGGAUCAUUGGCGCUAACCAUUAAUUUCAAAAGCUCGAGCUGUUAGAAAUACACAAUCAAUUCACUUAAAGCGUACAGAUACAACGCCCGCGGGCCUCGAUUGUGACUCGGCCCAACCAGCCUCACGCCACUUCGAACAUGACUCGACCCACUCAGCCUCACGCCAUUUUGAACAUAAGUCGGCCCAACAUGGCCCCCUGCCACAGGACAGGAUGCUGGCCCAUUUAAGCCAGC